AUUAUGAACCAGAUCUCAUAAGUGUUUUGCACAGAUGACACAUAAUACCAAUAUUCUAGCUUAUAGGAAAAGCUGCAUGGCACUUUUAAUACAAUUAUAGGCACAAAGAGACAUCAGCCCUGAUCUUAGAGAUUGCAUUUAAACAAAUAUCAAAACUGUCACUGAAUUUAAAAAAAAAAAAAAAAAAAAGCUCCUUGGAUGCAAUUGCCUCUUUUAUUGUUACCUUUGCUCAGCAUCAUGAGAGAGCUAUUAGGAGGCACAAAUAGCCAGCCCUUCCCCUAGCCUGUCUGCUCAUAUAGUCCAGGCAUACUGGACCUCCCAUCCUAAGGCAGAAGUCCCAUACUGCUCCUCACCAUUAGCAUAACAGGUAUUGCUGGUGCAAGUGGUGGUUCAAAGCAGAUGAGAGCAUCCUGAAAGUGCUCUAAUUUAGAUUGGGACAAGACCUCUAGAUCUCACCACUAGCAUGUUUUUAUAUUAUGUGCUCCAUAAUGAUUGAGCUCCCAGCUGAUCAGCAGCACACCAUUGUCCCUAUCUUCUCUGUUAUUUAGCUCCCACGGUAGAAGGAAGAGGUUGCCUGUGCUUGGAAGAGCAUGAAAAGGAGGAUUACUGAAGGAGCACUCCUUGCUGUUCUGAUAGCGCAGUCACCCUGUGCGGCACACUAUGGCCUUUGUUUCCUGAGUUUUGCCAUUUAUGCGUGCUACUGGGAAGCCUUGAGUUUAGCCAGAAGAGGACAUUGCCACCAGUGGUACAUCCCAGAGAGUGUGUCUAGGAUGUCAGACACGUGGAUUAUCCUUCCCUGCAUACCUGUGUGUGGUUCCUUUCUGUCCUCAUAAAUCAAGUCUCAUGACUAGUUGCAGGAAAACCUGGGGAACAGAAUGUAGCGCUGUUAAAAAAUAAUGUCUUUGUAUCUGGACACCAUUCACUUCCAUUUAAAAAAAAAUGAAAAGCAGGGAACAGAGGGCCUCAAGCCAGCUUCCUUCUCUGUGCAGCAUGUACAUAGUUAUGACUGUCUUUGGGGAAUCAUGUCUUUAAACUUCAGAUGUCUGCCUGCCUGCCUGCUCAGGACUGCCCAGCCCAAGCCCUCCAAAAUCCUGUGUGGACUCUUUCUGCCUCACUUGCUUCUCAGAAAGAAGUACACUAGCAACGGCAGAACCUUGAAGAAGGAACUUGGCUUUUUGCAGCAAAGGAUCAUUCUCAUUAGAAGUUGUCAGUUGCUGGCUGGCGGCUGA
This 1229-nucleotide long non-coding RNA is filed under the name Struthio camelus australis. Its description in RNAcentral is "lncRNA (ENSSCUG00000007973.1)". Lineage: Eukaryota; Metazoa; Chordata; Aves; Struthioniformes; Struthionidae. The record is from RNAcentral.